CCCGUGCUUGAUUCGGGCUCGGCCCGAUCCUCCCACCCUUUGUGUACCUACCUCUGUUGCUUUGGCGGGCCGCGGUCCUCCGCGGCCGCCCCCCUCCCCGGGGGGGUGGCCAGCGCCCGCCAGAGGACCAUCAAACUCCAGUCAGUAAACGAUGCAGUCUGAAAAACAUUUAAUAAACUAAAACUUUCAACAACGGAUCUCUUGGUUCUGGCAUCGAUGAAGAACGCAGCGAAAUGCGAUAAGUAAUGUGAAUUGCAGAAUUCAGUGAAUCAUCGAAUCUUUGAACGCACAUUGCGCCCUUUGGUAUUCCGAAGGGCAUGCCUGUUCGAGCGUCAUUACAACCCUCAAGCUCUGCUUGGUAUUGGGCACCGUCCUUUGCGGGCGCGCCUCAAAGACCUCGGCGGUGGCGUCUUGCCUCAAGCGUAGUAGAACAUACAUCUCGCUUCGGAGCGCAGGGCGUCGCCCGCCGGACGAACCUUCUGAACUUUUCUCAAGGUUGACCUCGGAUCAGGUAGGGAUACCCGCUGAACUUAAGCAUAUCAUAGCCCGGAGGAA
Molecule: ribosomal RNA, 555 nt
Filed under: Botryosphaeria dothidea
Lineage: Eukaryota; Fungi; Ascomycota; Dothideomycetes; Botryosphaeriales; Botryosphaeriaceae
Description: eukaryotic LSU rRNA
Rfam family: 5.8S ribosomal RNA (bases 182-335)
Source: RNAcentral